This 460-nucleotide ribosomal RNA is filed under the name uncultured bacterium. RNAcentral's name for it is "partial 16S ribosomal RNA". It matches the Rfam family "Bacterial small subunit ribosomal RNA", at positions 338 to 795 of the family's 1533-position model. The record is from RNAcentral.
CCUACGGGUGGCUGCAGUGAGGAAUAUUGGUCAAUGGACGUAAGUCUGAACCAGCCAUGCCGCGUGCAGGAAGACGGCUCUAUGAGUUGUAAACUUCUUUUGUACAAGGGUAAACCUGAAUACGUGUAUUCAUCUGCAAGUACUCUACGAAUAAGGAUCGGCUAACUCCGUGCCAGCAGCCGCGGUAAUACGGAGGAUCCAAGCGUUAUCCGGAUUUAUUGGGUUUAAAGGGUGCGUAGGCUGAUUGUUAAGUUAGAGGUGAAAUGUCGGGGCUUAACCAGGGAAUUGCCGCUAAUACUGUUGAUCUAGAGAGUAGAUGCGGUAGGCGGAAUGUAUGGUGUAGCGGUGAAAUGCUUAGAGAUCACACAGAACACCGAUUGCGAAGGCAGCUUACCAAUCUAUAUCUGACGUUGAGGCACGAAAGCGUGGGGAGCAAACAGGAUUAGAUACCCUGGUAGUC